AGUGAACGCUGGCGGCAGGCCUAAUACAUGCAAGUCGAACGGCAGCACAGCAGAGCUUGCUCUGUGGGUGGCGAGUGGCGGACGGGUGAGGAAUACGUGGGAAUCUGCCCAGUCGUGGGGGAUAACGUAGGGAAACUUACGCUAAUACCGCAUGCGCCCUUCGGGGGAAAGCCGGGGACCUUCGGGCCUGGCGCGAUUGGAUGAGCCCACGUCGGAUUAACUAGUUGGCGGGUAAAGGCCCACCAAGGCGACGAUCCGUAGCUGGUCUGAGAGGAUGAUCAAACUCU
This 287-nucleotide ribosomal RNA is filed under the name uncultured bacterium. RNAcentral describes it as "partial 16S ribosomal RNA". It matches the Rfam family "Bacterial small subunit ribosomal RNA", at positions 29 to 312 of the family's 1533-position model. The record is from RNAcentral.